RNAcentral lists this ribosomal RNA (1409 nucleotides) under Salmonella enterica subsp. enterica serovar Typhi. RNAcentral describes it as "bacterial SSU rRNA". It matches the Rfam family "Bacterial small subunit ribosomal RNA". The record is from RNAcentral. Lineage: Bacteria; Pseudomonadati; Pseudomonadota; Gammaproteobacteria; Enterobacterales; Enterobacteriaceae.
UGUCUGGGAAACUGCCUGAUGGAGGGGGAUAACUACUGGAAACGGUGGCUAAUACCGCAUAACGUCGCAAGACCAAAGAGGGGGACCUUCGGGCCUCUUGCCAUCAGAUGUGCCCAGAUGGGAUUAGCUUGUUGGUGAGGUAACGGCUCACCAAGGCGACGAUCCCUAGCUGGUCUGAGAGGAUGACCAGCCACACUGGAACUGAGACACGGUCCAGACUCCUACGGGAGGCAGCAGUGGGGAAUAUUGCACAAUGGGCGCAAGCCUGAUGCAGCCAUGCCGCGUGUAUGAAGAAGGCCUUCGGGUUGUAAAGUACUUUCAGCGGGGAGGAAGGUGUUGUGGUUAAUAACCGCAGCAAUUGACGUUACCCGCAGAAGAAGCACCGGCUAACUCCGUGCCAGCAGCCGCGGUAAUACGGAGGGUGCAAGCGUUAAUCGGAAUUACUGGGCGUAAAGCGCACGCAGGCGGUCUGUCAAGUCGGAUGUGAAAUCCCCGGGCUCAACCUGGGAACUGCAUUCGAAACUGGCAGGCUUGAGUCUUGUAGAGGGGGGUAGAAUUCCAGGUGUAGCGGUGAAAUGCGUAGAGAUCUGGAGGAAUACCGGUGGCGAAGGCGGCCCCCUGGACAAAGACUGACGCUCAGGUGCGAAAGCGUGGGGAGCAAACAGGAUUAGAUACCCUGGUAGUCCACGCCGUAAACGAUGUCUACUUGGAGGUUGUGCCCUUGAGGCGUGGCUUCCGGAGCUAACGCGUUAAGUAGACCGCCUGGGGAGUACGGCCGCAAGGUUAAAACUCAAAUGAAUUGACGGGGGCCCGCACAAGCGGUGGAGCAUGUGGUUUAAUUCGAUGCAACGCGAAGAACCUUACCUGGUCUUGACAUCCACAGAACUUUCCAGAGAUGGAUUGGUGCCUUCGGGAACUGUGAGACAGGUGCUGCAUGGCUGUCGUCAGCUCGUGUUGUGAAAUGUUGGGUUAAGUCCCGCAACGAGCGCAACCCUUAUCCUUUGUUGCCAGCGGUCCGGCCGGGAACUCAAAGGAGACUGCCAGUGAUAAACUGGAGGAAGGUGGGGAUGACGUCAAGUCAUCAUGGCCCUUACGACCAGGGCUACACACGUGCUACAAUGGCGCAUACAAAGAGAAGCGACCUCGCGAGAGCAAGCGGACCUCAUAAAGUGCGUCGUAGUCCGGAUUGGAGUCUGCAACUCGACUCCAUGAAGUCGGAAUCGCUAGUAAUCGUGGAUCAGAAUGCCACGGUGAAUACGUUCCCGGGCCUUGUACACACCGCCCGUCACACCAUGGGAGUGGGUUGCAAAAGAAGUAGGUAGCUUAACCUUCGGGGGGGCGCUUACCACUUUGUGAUUCAUGACUGGGGUGAAGUCGUAACAAGGUAACCGUAGGGGAACCUGCGGUUG